CUUUAAGGCGCGCAGGGUGCGCACGGGUGUGGGAGGGAGACCCCGGCGCCGGAGGGCCUGCGGUCGCCUCAGCCCCACCCUGGGACGGCGUGCUCCCUCCCCUCGCUGCUCACCUUGGUUCCCAAGAGCCGGGCGGCCGCACUCCGACUCAGAUUUUGAACGGAUGUUUGCAUGUAUACCACAGUGCUACAUUAAAAACCAGUCAUGUGGAUGUGGAGAAGGGUGCUGAUCAGGACUCCCUGUUUGCUAACAAAUUCUACAGCAGAAACAAAGUAUUAAGGUUUGCAGCCAGGAAGCAAGUGCAUGGGGAAUAAGCCUGCAGCUUCUUCCAAAUGAGACAGAGCCAAAUCUUUUUUCUGAGUCUGUUUUCUUCAUUUCUAUUAAACCAAGGUCCUUUUUAAGCAGUCG
This 408-nucleotide long non-coding RNA is filed under the name Homo sapiens (human). Its description in RNAcentral is "LHRI_LNC1959.1". Lineage: Eukaryota; Metazoa; Chordata; Mammalia; Primates; Hominidae. The record is from RNAcentral.